This 217-nucleotide unclassified non-coding RNA is filed under the name Hevea brasiliensis (rubber tree). Lineage: Eukaryota; Viridiplantae; Streptophyta; Magnoliopsida; Malpighiales; Euphorbiaceae. The record is from RNAcentral.
GCAUUCUUGGAUUCUUCUAGCCUUGCUUGCCUUGUGUGCUACUCGGCGCUUUCAUCGUUCGUCGGCGUUGAUUCGACAACAAUUUGAUGGCACGCUUCUAGUGUCUCUGAAGGUCCUCCUAUGUCAGGCAGAAUUUCUGUGAUGAAGCGUUAGGGGUGCAAAUAUAUGCCUCUGCCAAGGACAGCGAAGCUAACGCCACUCUCCUCGAUUACAUUAG